Molecule: ribosomal RNA, 486 nt
Filed under: uncultured bacterium
Lineage: Bacteria
Description: bacterial SSU rRNA
Rfam family: Archaeal small subunit ribosomal RNA
Source: RNAcentral
AGUGAAUAGAUACCCUGGUAGUCCCAGCUGUAAACGAUGCGCGUUAGGUGUAUCGGUGACCACGAGUCACCGAGGUGCCGAAGGGAAACCGUGAAACGUGCCGCCUGGGAAGUACGGUCGCAAGGCUGAAACUUAAAGGAAUUGGCGGGGGAGCACCACAACAGGUGGAGCCUGCGGUUUAAUCGGACUCAACGCCGGGAAGCUCACCGGAUAAGACAGCUGAAUGAUAGCCGGGUUGAAGACUCUGCUUGACUAGCUGAGAGGAGGUGCAUGGCCGUCGUCAGUUCGUACUGUGAAGCAUCCUGUUAAGUCAGGCAACGAGCGAGACCCACGCCAACAGUUGCCAGCAUGUCCUCCGGGAUGGUGGGGACACUGUUGGGACUGCCUCUGCUAAAGAGGAGGAAGGAAUGGGCAACGGUAGGUCAGCAUGCCCCGAAUUAUCCGGGCUACACGCGGGCUACAAUGGUCAGGACAAUGGGUAUCAAC